GGUUAAGCGACUAAGCGUACACGGUGGAUGCCCUGGCAGUCAGAGGCGAUGAAGGACGUGCUAAUCUGCGAUAAGCGUCGGUAAGGUGAUAUGAACCGUUAUAACCGGCGAUUUCCGAAUGGGGAAACCCAGUGUGUUUCGACACACUAUCAUUAACUGAAUCCAUAGGUUAAUGAGGCGAACCGGGGGAACUGAAACAUCUAAGUACCCCGAGGAAAAGAAAUCAACCGAGAUUCCCCCAGUAGCGGCGAGCGAACGGGGAGCAGCCCAGAGCCUGAAUCAGUGUGUGUGUUAGUGGAAGCGUCUGGAAAGGCGCGCGAUACAGGGUGACAGCCCCGUACACAAAAAUGCACAUGCUGUGAGCUCGAUGAGUAGGGCGGGACACGUGGUAUCCUGUCUGAAUAUGGGGGGACCAUCCUCCAAGGCUAAAUACUCCUGACUGACCGAUAGUGAACCAGUACCGUGAGGGAAAGGCGAAAAGAACCCCGGCGAGGGGAGUGAAAAAGAACCUGAAACCGUGUACGUACAAGCAGUGGGAGCACGCUUAGGCGUGUGACUGCGUACCUUUUGUAUAAUGGGUCAGCGACUUAUAUUCUGUAGCAAGGUUAACCGAAUAGGGGAGCCGAAGGGAAACCGAGUCUUAACUGGGCGUUAAGUUGCAGGGUAUAGACCCGAAACCCGGUGAUCUAGCCAUGGGCAGGUUGAAGGUUGGGUAACACUAACUGGAGGACCGAACCGACUAAUGUUGAAAAAUUAGCGGAUGACUUGUGGCUGGGGGUGAAAGGCCAAUCAAACCGGGAGAUAGCUGGUUCUCCCCGAAAGCUAUUUAGGUAGCGCCUCGUGAAUUCAUCUCCGGGGGUAGAGCACUGUUUCGGCAAGGGGGUCAUCCCGACUUACCAACCCGAUGCAAACUGCGAAUACCGGAGAAUGUUAUCACGGGAGACACACGGCGGGUGCUAACGUCCGUCGUGAAGAGGGAAACAACCCAGACCGCCAGCUAAGGUCCCAAAGUCAUGGUUAAGUGGGAAACGAUGUGGGAAGGCCCAGACAGCCAGGAUGUUGGCUUAGAAGCAGCCAUCAUUUAAAGAAAGCGUAAUAGCUCACUGGUCGAGUCGGCCUGCGCGGAAGAUGUAACGGGGCUAAACCAUGCACCGAAGCUGCGGCAGCGACGCUGAUGCGUUGUUGGGUAGGGGAGGAGCGUUCUGUAAGCCUGUGAAGGUGUGCUGUGAGGCAUGCUGGAGGUAUCAGAAGUGCGAAUGCUGACAUAAGUAACGAUAAAGCGGGUGAAAAGCCCGCUCGCCGGAAGACCAAGGGUUCCUGUCCAACGUUAAUCGGGGCAGGGUGAGUCGACCCCUAAGGCGAGGCCGAAAGGCGUAGUCGAUGGGAAACAGGUUAAUAUUCCUGUACUUGGUGUUACUGCGAAGGGGGGACGGAGAAGGCUAUGUUGGCCGGGCGACGGUUGUCCCGGUUUAAGCGUGUAGGCUGGUUUUCCAGGCAAAUCCGGAAAAUCAAGGCUGAGGCGUGAUGACGAGGCACUACGGUGCUGAAGCAACAAAUGCCCUGCUUCCAGGAAAAGCCUCUAAGCAUCAGGUAACAUCAAAUCGUACCCCAAACCGACACAGGUGGUCAGGUAGAGAAUACCAAGGCGCUUGAGAGAACUCGGGUGAAGGAACUAGGCAAAAUGGUGCCGUAACUUCGGGAGAAGGCACGCUGAUAUGUAGGUGAGGUCCCUCGCGGAUGGAGCUGAAAUCAGUCGAAGAUACCAGCUGGCUGCAACUGUUUAUUAAAAACACAGCACUGUGCAAACACGAAAGUGGACGUAUACGGUGUGACGCCUGCCCGGUGCCGGAAGGUUAAUUGAUGGGGUCAGCGCAAGCGAAGCUCUUGAUCGAAGCCCCGGUAAACGGCGGCCGUAACUAUAACGGUCCUAAGGUAGCGAAAUUCCUUGUCGGGUAAGUUCCGACCUGCACGAAUGGCGUAAUGAUGGCCAGGCUGUCUCCACCCGAGACUCAGUGAAAUUGAACUCGCUGUGAAGAUGCAGUGUACCCGCGGCAAGACGGAAAGACCCCGUGAACCUUUACUAUAGCUUGACACUGAACAUUGAGCCUUGAUGUGUAGGAUAGGUGGGAGGCUUUGAAGUGUGGACGCCAGUCUGCAUGGAGCCGACCUUGAAAUACCACCCUUUAAUGUUUGAUGUUCUAACGUUGACCCCUAAUCGGGGUUGCGGACAGUGUCUGGUGGGUAGUUUGACUGGGGCGGUCUCCUCCUAAAGAGUAACGGAGGAGCACGAAGGUUGGCUAAUCCUGGUCGGACAUCAGGAGGUUAGUGCAAUGGCAUAAGCCAGCUUGACUGCGAGCGUGACGGCGCGAGCAGGUGCGAAAGCAGGUCAUAGUGAUCCGGUGGUUCUGAAUGGAAGGGCCAUCGCUCAACGGAUAAAAGGUACUCCGGGGAUAACAGGCUGAUACCGCCCAAGAGUUCAUAUCGACGGCGGUGUUUGGCACCUCGAUGUCGGCUCAUCACAUCCUGGGGCUGAAGUAGGUCCCAAGGGUAUGGCUGUUCGCCAUUUAAAGUGGUACGCGAGCUGGGUUUAGAACGUCGUGAGACAGUUCGGUCCCUAUCUGCCGUGGGCGCUGGAGAACUGAGGGGGGCUGCUCCUAGUACGAGAGGACCGGAGUGGACGCAUCACUGGUGUUCGGGUUGUCAUGCCAAUGGCACUGCCCGGUAGCUAAAUGCGGAAGAGAUAAGUGCUGAAAGCAUCUAAGCACGAAACUUGCCCCGAGAUGAGUUCUCCCUGACCCUUUAAGGGUCCUGAAGGAACGUUGAAGACGACGACGUUGAUAGGCCGGGUGUGUAAGCGCAGCGAUGCGUUGAGCUAACCGGUACUAAUGAACCGUGAGGCUUAACCUU
Molecule: ribosomal RNA, 2907 nt
Filed under: Escherichia coli
Lineage: Bacteria; Pseudomonadati; Pseudomonadota; Gammaproteobacteria; Enterobacterales; Enterobacteriaceae
Description: 23S ribosomal RNA
Rfam family: Bacterial large subunit ribosomal RNA
Source: RNAcentral